GGGUUAGUCUGAGAAUAAGCUAUACUAAUAAAUAGUAUAUGUUACACUAUGCUGAGUGUCAUACAGGCACGCUAUAUACGUGCUAUUAUAUCAGCCUAGUGUAUGAAGACCAAGUGCCUCUUAUGUGCGCCCUUAUCACCAACACUAUCUGUAUAAUAACCCAGCGCUGUCAUCGUAAUCACCCCACAAGUGCAUAUAAUGAUGCAUCGUACGUCAGGGGCGACACAUUACACGGUAUAUAAGGAGCAAUCUCGGACGGAGGUCUACACAACUGGAGUCUCACUUGCGCCUCGCGAUAAGAGCUUUGAAGAAACUCUCUCAAGAUGAAGUUCCCUGUGAUAUUCUGCAUUGCUGCUUUUGUUCUUGCCUCUUCGCUCUUCGUUCGAGACACCGAGGCAUUCACAGCCGGCGCUGGGAACAUUGUGCUUCGAGAGUUGAACAGAGAGGUUCCAGUCCGCUCGAUUGAGGGCUUCUGCUACACUGCCAGACAGAUCUGCUCGAGGACUGGGGCCGCACUCAAGCGUACCACUACUGACCAAUGAAGAAAAUGCAUAUAACUGAACAAUUCUAUUAUAAGGGUAUUACGAGAAAAUUGAUAAAUUUGUGAGAUACAGCUUUGACUGAAUGAGCCAAUAUUGAAUAAAGGACUAUUUGUAUUGGAAA
Molecule: long non-coding RNA, 663 nt
Organism: Nematostella vectensis (starlet sea anemone)
Lineage: Eukaryota; Metazoa; Cnidaria; Anthozoa; Actiniaria; Edwardsiidae
Exons: 2
Source: RefSeq, a predicted model, not a curated record